RNAcentral lists this ribosomal RNA (380 nucleotides) under uncultured eukaryote. Its description in RNAcentral is "partial 18S ribosomal RNA". It matches the Rfam family "Eukaryotic small subunit ribosomal RNA", at positions 592 to 976 of the family's 1831-position model. The record is from RNAcentral.
CAAUAGCGUAUAUUAAAGUUGUUGCGGUUAAAAAGCUCGUAGUUGGAUUUCUGCUGAGGACGAUCGGUCCGCCCUCUGGGUGAGUAUCUGGCUCGGCCUUGGCAUCUUCUUGGAGAACGUUACUGCACUUGACUGUGUGGUGCGGUAUCCAGGACUUUUACUUUGAGGAAAUUAGAGUGUUUCAAGCAGGCGCACGCCUUGAAUACAUUAGCAUGGAAUAAUAAGAUAGGACCUUGGUUCUAUUUUGUUGGUUUCUAGAGCUGAGGUAAUGAUUAAUAGGGAUAGUUGGGGGCAUUCGUAUUUAACUGUCAGAGGUGAAAUUCUUGGAUUCGUUAAAGACGGACUACUGCGAAAGCAUUUGCCAAGGAUGUUUUCAUUGA